This 460-nucleotide ribosomal RNA is filed under the name uncultured bacterium. RNAcentral's name for it is "partial 16S ribosomal RNA". It matches the Rfam family "Bacterial small subunit ribosomal RNA", at positions 338 to 795 of the family's 1533-position model. The record is from RNAcentral.
CCUACGGGAGGCAGCAGUGAGGAAUAUUGGUCAAUGGCCGUAAGGCUGAACCAACCAAGUCGCGUGCAGGAAGAAGGAUCUAUGAUUUGUAAACUGCUUUUAUAGGGGAAUAAAGGUAUCCACGUGUGGAUGUUUGCAUGUACCCUAUGAAUAAGCAUCGGCUAACUCCGUGCCAGCAGCCGCGGUAAUACGGAGGAUGCAAGCGUUAUCCGGAUUUAUUGGGUUUAAAGGGUGCGUAGGUUGUUGGAUAAGUCAGCGGUGAAAGUUUGUGGCUCAACCAUAAAAUUGCCGUUGAAACUGGAAGACUUGAGUGUGUUUGCGGUAGGCGGAAUGCAUGGUGUAGCGGUGAAAUGCAUAGAUAUCACGCAGAACUCCGAUUGCGAAGGCAGCUUACCAAGCCAUAACUGACAUUGAAGCACGAAAGCGUGGGGAGCAAACAGGAUUAGAUACCCGUGUAGUC